UACGUAGGGGGCGAGCGUUGUCCGGAAUGAUUGGGCGUAAAGCGCGCGCAGGCGGCGAGGUAAGUUGGGUGUUUAAACCUAGGGCUCAACCUUGGGUCGCAUCCAAAACUGCAUCGCUUGAGUGCAGAAGAGGAAAGUGGAAUUCCACGUGUAGCGGUGAAAUGCGUAGAUAUGUGGAGGAACACCAGUGGCGAAGGCGACUUUCUGGGCUGUCACUGACGCUGAGGCGCGAAAGCGUGGGGAGCAAACAGG
This 252-nucleotide ribosomal RNA is filed under the name uncultured bacterium. RNAcentral's name for it is "partial 16S ribosomal RNA". It matches the Rfam family "Bacterial small subunit ribosomal RNA", at positions 524 to 776 of the family's 1533-position model. The record is from RNAcentral.